Molecule: ribosomal RNA, 460 nt
Filed under: uncultured bacterium
Lineage: Bacteria
Description: partial 16S ribosomal RNA
Rfam family: Bacterial small subunit ribosomal RNA
Source: RNAcentral
CCUACGGGUGGCAGCAGUGAGGAAUAUUGGUCAAUGGGCGGAAGCCUGAACCAGCCAAGCAGCGUGCAGGAUGACGGCCCCACGGGUUGUAAACUGCUUUUAUACGGGAAUAACGCGCCUUUCGUGUACGGCUUUGCAUGUACCGUAUGAAUAAGGAUCGGCUAACUCCGUGCCAGCAGCCGCGGUAAUACGGAAGGUCCGGGCGUUAUCCGGAUUUCUUGGGUUUAAAGGGGGCGUAGGCGGCAUGUGAAGCGUGCUGUAAAAUGCCCGGGCCCAACCCGGGCCUAGAAGUGCAAACUGGCGGGCUGGAGACGGCGGAAGGCAGGCGGAAUGCGUCGUGUAGCGGUGAAAUGCUUAGAUAUGGCGAAGAACCCCGAUUGCGAAGGCAGCAUGCUGCAGGGGAACUGACGCUGAGGCUCGAAAGCGCGGGUAUCGAACAGGAUUAGAUACCCCUGUAGUC